Molecule: long non-coding RNA, 290 nt
Filed under: Phaseolus vulgaris (common bean)
Lineage: Eukaryota; Viridiplantae; Streptophyta; Magnoliopsida; Fabales; Fabaceae
Description: long non-coding RNA (PVUL_LNC002424)
Source: RNAcentral
GUGAGAAGCUGAUGGGGGAGUUCAUGCACACCGUGACAUAUGAGAUGCACGGCUUGGGUUGUAUUGAACUUACCAUGAUCCUUUCUGUUGGAUUCGCUGGUAAUCUUUGGAUCAGGUGUUAGUCUCUGGUAGGACUUACUUAAUACGGGUCUUCCGGAAGACGUUGUUUGUUGAAUAUUCUGGAUGUGUAGAUCCAUGUGAGAUCUAUGUGAUUGUUUAUUGUUGAGAUUUGAAGAAAAUUGAAUAAUUUGAUAAAUUGAUCAUGUAAUUUGGUUUUCUCUUUGGAUUUA